GAUGAACGCUGGCGGCGUGCCUAAUACAUGCAAGUCGAGCGAACAGACGAGGAGCUUGCUCCUCUGACGUUAGCGGCGGACGGGUGAGUAACACGUGGAUAACCUACCUAUAAGACUGGGAUAAAUUCGGGAAACCGGAGCUAAUACCGGAUAAUAUAUUGAACCGCAUGGUUCAAUAGUGAAAGACGGUUUUGCUGUCACUUAUAGAUGGAUCCGCGCCGCAUUAGCUAGUUGGUAAGGUAACGGCUUACCAAGGCAACGAUGCGUAGCCGACCUGAGAGGGUGAUCGGCCACACUGGAACUGAGACACGGUCCAGACUCCUACGGGAGGCAGCAGUAGGGAAUCUUCCGCAAAGGGCGAAAGCUUGACGGGGCAAUGCCGCGUGAGUGAUGAAGGUCUUCGGAUCGUAAAACUCUGUUAUUAGGGAAGAACAAAUGUGUAAGUAACUAUGCACGUCUUGACGGUACCUAAUCAGAAAGCCACGGCUAACUACGUG
This 497-nucleotide ribosomal RNA is filed under the name uncultured bacterium. Its description in RNAcentral is "partial 16S ribosomal RNA". It matches the Rfam family "Bacterial small subunit ribosomal RNA", at positions 28 to 507 of the family's 1533-position model. The record is from RNAcentral.